RNAcentral lists this ribosomal RNA (150 nucleotides) under uncultured Klebsiella sp. RNAcentral describes it as "partial 16S ribosomal RNA". It matches the Rfam family "Bacterial small subunit ribosomal RNA", at positions 335 to 478 of the family's 1533-position model. Lineage: Bacteria; Pseudomonadati; Pseudomonadota; Gammaproteobacteria; Enterobacterales; Enterobacteriaceae. The record is from RNAcentral.
ACUCCUACGGGAGGCAGCAGUGGGGAAUAUUGCACAAUGGGCGCAAGCCUGAUGCAGCCAUGCCGCGUGUGUGAAGAAGGCCUUCGGGUUGUAAAGCACUUUCAGCGAGGAGGAAGGUGGUGAGCUUAAUACGCUCAUCAAUUGACGUAC